Molecule: ribosomal RNA, 385 nt
Filed under: uncultured bacterium
Lineage: Bacteria
Description: bacterial SSU rRNA
Rfam family: Bacterial small subunit ribosomal RNA
Source: RNAcentral
AACGAACGCUGGCGGCGUGCUUAACACAUGCAAGUCGAACGUGAUUGGAAGCUUGCUUCCAUGAAAGUGGCGCACGGGUGAGUAACGCGUGGAUAACCUGCCCUGGUAUCUGGGAUAACAUUUCGAAAGGGGUGCUAAUACCGGAUAAGCCCACGGGAUCCUCGGAUUCUGCGGGAAAGGAGGCCUCUAUUUAUAAGCUUCCGUACCAUGAUGGGUCCGCGUACCAUUAGCUAGUUGGUGGGGUAAUGGCCUACCAAGGCGACGAUGGUUAGCUGGUCUGAGAGGAUGAUCAGCCACACUGGAACUGAGACACGGUCCAGACUCCUACGGGAGGCAGCAGUGGGGAAUUUUGCGCAAUGGGGGAAACCCUGACGCAGCAACGCCG